Molecule: non-coding RNA, 66 nt
Organism: Pseudomonadales bacterium
Lineage: Bacteria; Pseudomonadati; Pseudomonadota; Gammaproteobacteria; Pseudomonadales
Source: Rfam
GACCUUGCGUCUACAGCCCAAGCGUUAAGCGAAAGGCUGAUGGCUGGUGGCUUUUGCCACCGGCCU